CCAAUAGCGUAUAUUAAAGUUGUUGCAGUUAAAAAGCUCGUAGUUGAAUUUCGGGAUUAGUAGGUUGGUCGUGCCUCCGGUAUGUACUGGCUUCACUGAUUCCUCCUUCUUGAAGAACUGUAAUGUCAUUAAUUUGGUGUUGCAGGGAAACAGGACUGUUACUUUGAAAAAAUUAGAGUGUUUAAAGCAGGCUAACGCUUGAAUACAUUAGCAUGGAAUAAUGAAAUAGGACGUUUGAUCCUAUUUUGUUGGUUUCUAGGAUUGACGUAAUGAUUAAUAGGGAUAGUUGGGGGCAUUAGUAUUCAAUUGUCAGAGGUGAAAUUCUUGGAUUUAUUGAGGACUAACUACUGCGAAAGCAUUUGCCAAGGAUGUUUUCAUUAAUCAAGAACGAAAGUUAGGGGAUCGAAGACGAUCAGAUACCGUCGUAGUCUUAACCAUAAACUAUGCCGACUAGGGAUCGGAUGAUGUUAAUUUUUUAAUGACUCAUUCGGCGCCUUACG
RNAcentral lists this ribosomal RNA (500 nucleotides) under uncultured Glomeromycotina. RNAcentral describes it as "partial small subunit ribosomal RNA". It matches the Rfam family "Eukaryotic small subunit ribosomal RNA", at positions 591 to 1092 of the family's 1831-position model. Lineage: Eukaryota; Fungi; Glomeromycota. The record is from RNAcentral.